CUAUGAUGUCGAGUUAAUUUACAUGAUAAAUUUAUAAACCUCCAUAUUUUGUCAUGAAACUUGUGCAGAAAUUAAAUGAAAAUAUUUCUUUUGUUUAAAUCCUGUAAUGGACUGAUAAAUGAAUAAACUUUUCGUGGGGAGAAAUUUCAGGCGAGAACCAGGGUUCUAUUUACACACUUUAAUAUUGCACCUGAACAAGUCAGAAAAUUAAUCAUUUCAUGUUCAUUUACGAUUCUAAA
RNAcentral lists this long non-coding RNA (239 nucleotides) under Mytilus galloprovincialis (Mediterranean mussel). Lineage: Eukaryota; Metazoa; Mollusca; Bivalvia; Mytilida; Mytilidae. The record is from RNAcentral.